UACGUAGGUGGCAAGCGUUGUCCGGAUUUAUUGGGUUUAAAGGGUGCGUAGGCGGUCCUUUAAGUCAGUUGUGAAAUCCAGCAGCUUAACUGUCGAGGUGCAAUUGAUACUGGUGGACUUGAGUACUGAUGAGGUAGGCGGAAUGGACGGUGUAGCGGUGAAAUGCGCAGAUAUCAGGGGGAACACCGAUGGCGAAGGCAGGUCUCUGGGCAGUAACUGACGCUGAGGAGCGAAAGCAUGGGGAGCGAACAGG
Molecule: ribosomal RNA, 253 nt
Filed under: uncultured bacterium
Lineage: Bacteria
Description: partial 16S ribosomal RNA
Rfam family: Bacterial small subunit ribosomal RNA
Source: RNAcentral